GACGAACGCUGGCGGCGUGCUUAACACAUGCAAGUCGAACGGAAAGGCCCUGCUUUUGUGGGGUGCUCGAGUGGCGAACGGGUGAGUAACACGUGAGUAACCUGCCCUUGACUUUGGGAUAACUUCAGGCAACUGGGGCUAAUACCGGAUCGGAGCUCCUGCUGCAUGGUGGGGGUUGGAAAGUUUCGGCGGUUGGGGAUGGACUCGCGGCUUAUCAGCUUGGUGGUGGGGUAGUGGCUUACCAAGGCUUUGACGGGUCGCCGGCCUGAGAGGGUGACCGGCCACAUUGGGACUGAGAUACGGCCCAGACUCCUACGGGAGGCAGCAGUGGGGAAUAUGGCACAAUGGGCGGAAGCCUGAUGCAGCAACGCCGCGUGCGGGAUGACGGCCUUCGGGUUGUAAACCGCUUUCGCCUGUGACGAAGCGUGAGUGACGGUAAUGGGUAAAGAAGCACCGGCUAACUACGUG
This 468-nucleotide ribosomal RNA is filed under the name uncultured bacterium. Its description in RNAcentral is "partial 16S ribosomal RNA". It matches the Rfam family "Bacterial small subunit ribosomal RNA", at positions 28 to 507 of the family's 1533-position model. The record is from RNAcentral.